Molecule: ribosomal RNA, 217 nt
Filed under: uncultured bacterium
Lineage: Bacteria
Description: partial 16S ribosomal RNA
Rfam family: Bacterial small subunit ribosomal RNA
Source: RNAcentral
UACGUAGGGUGCAAGCGUUAAUCGGAAUUACUGGGCGUAAAGCGCACGUAGGCGGCUUUGUAAGUCAGAGGUGAAAGCCCGGAGCUUAACUCCGGAAUUGCCUUUGAGACUGCAUCGCUUGAAUCCGGGAGAGGUGAGUGGAAUUCCGAGUGUAGAGGUGGAAAUUCGUAAGAUAUUCGGAAGAACACCAGUGGCGAAGGCGGCCACACUGGACCGG